GUCAUCAUCGAAUCUUUGAACGCAAAUUGCACUCCCUGGUAUUCCGGGGAGUAUGCCUGUUUGAGGGUCGUUAGAAUAAAAAAUCGAUGCGUCGCUCUUUUUUUUUAAGGGUGAUCGCGUCGGAAUUGAGCCGUCUUUCAAAUGUUAAUCCAUGUAAAAGUGGCUUGAAUUUCAUCCAUCCGGUCCGAUGAAAGCGUAUUUAAGAUAAAUUUUGAUUGAGAACGCGCG
This 228-nucleotide unclassified non-coding RNA is filed under the name Funneliformis mosseae. RNAcentral's name for it is "partial contains 5.8S ribosomal RNA and internal transcribed spacer 2". The stretch from base 1 to 70 matches the Rfam family "5.8S ribosomal RNA", at positions 85 to 154 of the family's 154-position model. Lineage: Eukaryota; Fungi; Glomeromycota; Glomeromycetes; Glomerales; Glomeraceae. The record is from RNAcentral.